AGCGAACGCUGGCGGCAGGCCUAACACAUGCAAGUCGAACGAACUCUUCGGAGUUAGUGGCGGACGGGUGAGUAACACGUGGGAACGUGCCCUUUGGUACGGAAUAACUCAGGGAAACUUGAGCUAAUACCGUAUGUGCCCUUCGGGGGAAAGAUUUAUCGCCAUUGGAGCGGCCCGCGUCUGAUUAGCUAGUUGGUGAGGUAAAGGCUCACCAAGGCUACGAUCAGUAGCUGGUCUGAGAGGAUGAUCAGCCACAUUGGGACUGAGACACGGCCCAAACUCCUACGGGAGGCAGCAGUGGGGAAUCUUGCGCAAUGGGCGAAAGCCUGACGCAGCCAUGCCGCGUGAAUGAUGAAGGUCUUAGGAUUGUAAAAAUUCUUUUCACCGGGGACGAUAAUGACGGUACCCGGAGAAGAAGCCCGGCUAACUUCGUGCCAGCAGCCGCGGGUAAUAGUACUCUAU
RNAcentral lists this ribosomal RNA (462 nucleotides) under uncultured bacterium. RNAcentral's name for it is "bacterial SSU rRNA". It matches the Rfam family "Bacterial small subunit ribosomal RNA", at positions 29 to 531 of the family's 1533-position model. The record is from RNAcentral.